CCUCAAAGACGAUGAGGUAGAUAGGUUCGGGGUGGAAGCGUGGCGACACGUGCAGCUGACGAAUACUAAUCGAUCGAGGACUUAACCAA
Molecule: ribosomal RNA, 89 nt
Filed under: Psychrobacillus psychrodurans
Lineage: Bacteria; Bacillati; Bacillota; Bacilli; Caryophanales; Bacillaceae
Also listed under: 3 other names
Description: partial 23S ribosomal RNA
Rfam family: Bacterial large subunit ribosomal RNA
Source: RNAcentral